AGCAGCCGCGGUAAUUCCAGCUCCAAUAGCGUAUAUUAAAGUUGCUGCAGUUAAAAAGCUCGUAGUUGAAUUUCGGGACCAUCAUGUCGGUCGUGCCUCAGUACGUACUGGCAUUGUUGGUUUCUACCUUCUGACGAACCAUGAUGUCAUUUAUUUGGUGUCAUGGGGGAUCAGGACUGUUACUUUGAAAAAUUAGAGUGUUUAAAGCAGGCUUUAGCUUGAAUACAUUAGCAUGGAAUAAUGAAAUAGGACGUUCGAACCUAUUUUGUUGGUUUCUAGGAUCAACGUAAUGAUUAAUAGGGAUAGUUGGGGCAUUAGUAUUCAAUUGUCAGAGGUGAAAUUCUUGG
RNAcentral lists this ribosomal RNA (347 nucleotides) under uncultured Glomus. RNAcentral describes it as "SSU rRNA". It matches the Rfam family "Eukaryotic small subunit ribosomal RNA", at positions 569 to 923 of the family's 1831-position model. The record is from RNAcentral. Lineage: Eukaryota; Fungi; Glomeromycota; Glomeromycetes; Glomerales; Glomeraceae.